Molecule: transfer RNA, 73 nt
Filed under: Anaerohalosphaera lusitana
Lineage: Bacteria; Pseudomonadati; Planctomycetota; Phycisphaerae; Sedimentisphaerales; Anaerohalosphaeraceae
Description: tRNA-Gln
Rfam family: tRNA
About the family: Transfer RNA (tRNA) molecules are approximately 80 nucleotides in length. Their secondary structure includes four short double-helical elements and three loops (D, anti-codon, and T loops). Further hydrogen bonds mediate the characteristic L-shaped molecular structure. tRNAs have two regions of fundamental functional importance: the anti-codon, which is responsible for specific mRNA codon recognition, and the 3' end, to which the tRNAs corresponding amino acid is attached (by aminoacyl-tRNA synthetases). tRNAs cope with the degeneracy of the genetic code in two manners: having more than one tRNA (with a specific anti-codon) for a particular amino acid; and 'wobble' base-pairing, i.e. permitting non-standard base-pairing at the 3rd anti-codon position.
Source: RNAcentral
UUGGGGUAUAGUGUAACGGCAGCACGAAUGACUCUGAAUCAUUUAGUCUAGGUUCGAAUCCUAGUACCCCAGU